ACUUCCAGGAUUACCUAGUACUGCGAGUGACCGGGAAAAGCUCAAAUUUUGAAUCUGGCGGUCCUUGCGGCCGUCCGAGUUGUAAUCUAGAGAAGCGUCUUCCGCGCUGGACCGUGUAUAAGUUUCCUGGAAUGGAACGUCGUAGAGGGUGAGAAUCCCGUCUUUGACACGGACUGCCAGGGCUUUGUGAUGCGCUCUCGACGAGUCGAGUUGUUUGGGAAUGCAGCUCAAAUAGGGUGGUAAAUUCCAUUUAAAGCUAAAUACAGGCGAGAGACCGAUAGCGAACAAGUACCGUGAGGGAAAGAUGAAAAGAACUUUGGAAAGAGAGUUAAACAGUACGUGAAAUUGCUGAAAGGGAAACGCUUGAUGUCAGUCGCGUUUGCUGGGGAUCAGCCUAGCUUUUUGCUUGGUGUACUUCCUGG
This 422-nucleotide ribosomal RNA is filed under the name Suillus bovinus. Its description in RNAcentral is "eukaryotic LSU rRNA". It matches the Rfam family "Eukaryotic large subunit ribosomal RNA", at positions 64 to 481 of the family's 3401-position model. The record is from RNAcentral. Lineage: Eukaryota; Fungi; Basidiomycota; Agaricomycetes; Boletales; Suillaceae.